Molecule: ribosomal RNA, 238 nt
Filed under: uncultured bacterium
Lineage: Bacteria
Description: partial 16S ribosomal RNA
Rfam family: Bacterial small subunit ribosomal RNA
Source: RNAcentral
UACGAAGGGGGCGUAGCGUUGCUCGGAAUUACUGGGCGUAAGGGAGCGUAGGCGGACAUUAAGUCAGGGGUGAAAUCCCAGAGCUCAACUCUGGAACUGCCUUUGAUACUGGGUGUCUUGAGUGUGAUAGAGGUAUGUGGAACUCCGAGUGUAGAGGUGAAAUUCGUAGAUAUUCGGAAGAACACCAGUGGCGAAGGCGACAUACUGGAUCAUUACUGACGCUGAGGCUCGAAAGCGU